Long non-coding RNA from Bufo bufo (common toad), 194 nucleotides. RefSeq lists it as uncharacterized. The record is from RefSeq and is a predicted model, not a curated record. NCBI's taxonomy places the organism in Eukaryota, Metazoa, Chordata, Amphibia, Anura, Bufonidae. The transcript is spliced from 3 exons.
CUGCUGACUGGAGAGGUUCCUGUAAGGUGUCAGGAUGUGGCGGUCUAUUUCUCCAUGGAAGAGUGGGAGUAUGUAGAAGGACACAAGGAUCUGUACAAGGAGGCCAUGAUGGAGGCUCCCCGGCCUCUGACAUCACCAGAUGGAUCCAAGAAGAGAAAUCCCCCCGAGAGAUGUCCCCGUCCUCUGUAUUCCCA